GUUUUAUUGGUUUUGAAACUGAGUUGAUAAGGUGUUUUCUUAGCAGAUAGCUAGUUAUAUGCUGUACAUAGAUGGUGAUUCAUUAAUGGUGUAGCUUUACUUUUUAUCUUCCUACCUCCCUUCCAUUUUCUGUUUUGUGGUGAUUUGAGGCUUAAUUUCAUCAGCAAACUCUCUGCGAGGUAUUGUUCUGUACAACUGUUGUAUUGCCAAGGAACUAACAGCCAAAGCUAGUUGCCAGAAUUUGCUUCUCUCUAUAUUUUAUUAAUAUAUUCU
Molecule: unclassified non-coding RNA, 273 nt
Filed under: Hevea brasiliensis (rubber tree)
Lineage: Eukaryota; Viridiplantae; Streptophyta; Magnoliopsida; Malpighiales; Euphorbiaceae
Source: RNAcentral